GAAUAUUGGACAAUGGACGAAAGUCUGCUCCAGCCAUGCCGCGUGCAGGAUGCCUGCCCUAUGGGUUGUAAACUGCUUUUAUAUCGGCAGAAACCCCCGGACGUGUCCGGGGUUGCCGGUACUAUACGAAUAAGGAUCGGCUAACUCCGUGCCAGCAGCCGCGGUAAUACGGAGGAUCCAAGCGUUGUCCGGAUUUAUUGGGUUUAAAGGGUACGCAGGCGGGAUAUGAAGUCAGUGGUGAAAGCCUACAGCUCAACUGUAGAAUUGCCAUUGAAACUGAUAUUCUUGAGUGUGGUUGAGGUGGUUGGAAUAUAUCAUGUAGCGGUGAAAUGCUUAGAUAUGAUAUAGAACACCAAUUGCGAAGGCAGAUCACUAAACCAUUACUGACGCUCAUGUACGAAAGCGUGGGGAGCGAACAGG
RNAcentral lists this ribosomal RNA (420 nucleotides) under uncultured bacterium. RNAcentral describes it as "bacterial SSU rRNA". It matches the Rfam family "Bacterial small subunit ribosomal RNA", at positions 359 to 776 of the family's 1533-position model. The record is from RNAcentral.